This 256-nucleotide unclassified non-coding RNA is filed under the name Hevea brasiliensis (rubber tree). Lineage: Eukaryota; Viridiplantae; Streptophyta; Magnoliopsida; Malpighiales; Euphorbiaceae. The record is from RNAcentral.
CUGAAGAUCAUGCUCUCCCCAUGUUGGAGUCUAGUGUUCUGAGCAGCUGUGAUGGUAACAUUGUAGGUGCAAGUGGACUGGUGUCCCCCUCCGAGGGCUCGGAAAAGAAACAACUUGAUGGCCUCCCCAAUAAGAAGAGUCUUGAGAAAGUUGGGGUUGGUGUUUUCAGGGAACAGGAAGGUGGUUCUGGUGACCAUGUUGGUGUAAUUGCAGCAGCAGAAAUUAAUACAGAUAUCAAAACCAGGAAGAGGAAACC